GACGAACGCUGGCGGCGUGCUUAACACAUGCAAGUCGAACGGAAAGGCCCUGCUUUUGUGGGGUGCUCGAGUGGCGAACGGGUGAGUAACACGUGAGUAACCUGCCCUUGACUUUGGGAUAACUUCAGGAAACUGGGGCUAAUACAGGAUAGGAGCUCCUGCUGCAUGGUGGGGGUUGGAAAGUUUCGGCGGUUGGGGCUGGACUCGCGGCUUAUCAGCUUGUUGGUGGGGUAGUGGCUUACCAAGGCUUUGACGGGUAGCCGGCCUGAGAGGGUGACCAGCCACAUUGGUACUGAGAUACGGCCCAGACGCCUACGGGAGGCAGCAGUGGGGAAUAUUGCACAAUGGGCGGAAGCCUGAUGCAGCAACGCCGCGUGCGGGAUGACGGCCUUCGGGUUGUAAACCGCUUUCGCCUGUGACGAAGCGUGAGUGACGGUAAUGGGUAAAGAAGCACCGGCUAACUACGUG
RNAcentral lists this ribosomal RNA (468 nucleotides) under uncultured bacterium. RNAcentral describes it as "partial 16S ribosomal RNA". It matches the Rfam family "Bacterial small subunit ribosomal RNA", at positions 28 to 507 of the family's 1533-position model. The record is from RNAcentral.